AUACUUACCUGGACGGGGUGAAUGGGUGAUCAUUGAGGCCUAUGUCCUAAGUUGGUGACCUCCAUUGCACUUUGGAGGCUUGCCCACUUAAGGUCUGCCCGCGUGGCAGAGCCUACGUCGUUAUUUGUUCCUGUGGGGGGCCUGCGUUCGCGCGGCCCCUCU
Molecule: non-coding RNA, 162 nt
Organism: Cucumis sativus (cucumber)
Lineage: Eukaryota; Viridiplantae; Streptophyta; Magnoliopsida; Cucurbitales; Cucurbitaceae
Source: Rfam